Long non-coding RNA from Gorilla gorilla gorilla (western lowland gorilla), 697 nucleotides. RefSeq lists it as uncharacterized. Lineage: Eukaryota; Metazoa; Chordata; Mammalia; Primates; Hominidae. The record is from RefSeq and is a predicted model, not a curated record. The transcript is spliced from 3 exons.
GCAGUGUGGGGAUCACCUCAUCUGUCCUUCAAGGUUCUGCAAUGCUCUGCCUUCAUUUUCCUUAUCAAGUUAACAGAUAUAUUCUGACUCUGUCUUUCGUGCUCAGUAUUCUUGCAAGAGAACAGAGCUCCUGAUCACCUGUGUGCAUCCUUUGAGUGGAUGGCAGCUGCAUCUCUGCAUUACAGCUAGUUAGAAUGAUGAGUCCUUGCUAUGCCUCAAGCACUGUUUCGAGUGUUUGAUGUCUAUUAUCUCACUUCAUCCUCACCAGGACCCCAUCCGAGCCUUAAUUUCAGUUGACAGUAACUAUUGGAUCCCCAGGAAUAUGUCUGCAUAUCUGGGGAGAAAAUACUAUUGGAGGGGAACAGAAAUGCUACUAAGAAAUAACUCUUGGCCUGCUACUGCUACUGUGUCAUAGUAGAUACUGAAUGCUUAACCAUGGUUCACCAAGUUACCAUGUGACCUGAGCUGCCCGUCAUGAACUGGGUGUUAUCUGACCACCAAGCCACAAAGUUGGGCAUGCAAACCAGCACUCCAUUAUCAAAUGGAAAUGAUAUAUAUGUGAUUGGGCCUGAGCAAGCCCUGAAGGCAUAAGUAAGUUAUAUAAAGUGGCUCAAAUGCCCAUGUUGCCCACUUCUGCUACACUGCCUCCUCUCUCCCAACCUUUACCUAUGCUUCAUGGGGUUUCCUUAUAACGAGU